AAGAGAGAUGAGAGUAACGGAAAAAAAGGAGAUAACAACUCUGGGGAAGAAUUGUUUGCACUCUGCCACACACACACACCACACACACACACAUCAUGUCAAGAGCAAAUGCUCCCAUUCUUUCUGCUCUUUGUCCUAAUGCAGAACUGAGCGCGAUGAGGGUAAAUCCGGAUGUGGACUCCUUUCCCACCAUCAGCAGAAGAACCGAAGGAGAAGAAGCGCCCGACCAACAACCAGAACAGGGUGGAAGCUCUGAUACCACAGCAGCUGGAGGACAAAGACCACAGCAUGGACGCCUCAGUGACUCCCACAACGUCUGCAGCCAUCACGUUCUGGGCUCAUCAGAUGAACCAGCUACUACAAGCGCUGCACCAGCAGGAAAGGACUGUGUCUGAAGCUUCAGAGGCCGUGAAACUGUCAUACACGCGUGUGUGUCUGACACAGACACCUGCUUAUGACAAUCAGCAAAGGAAAACAAGGACAGAGCAACAGCAGAGUGAGAAGACGUGCUCUGACACAGACACUGGUUGAAACAACAGGAGAGGCUUCAGACGUGAUCGGCCCAAUAGAGCUGCAUUCGAGGAUCCAGUAAAGGUCUGUCAUCGAGGAACAACUGUCCCAUCUAAAGGCUUUACCCACUGGCGCUCACAUCAGACUGAUGGUUGGGGAAGGAGGAAGGUGACGGUUCCUUUUCACGUGACGUACAAGACGGUACCGCAAACACACACACACACACAUUUCCACGCACGCAAUGAAGAAACACGCUUACAGCUGAUACAGGCUCAAAUUCAUGUUCAUGCUUAUCUGCUCGCAAUGAAGAAUCGCUUUUUGCUCAAAAAAUCCCACAGAGUGAUUUGAAAAUGAUGACAAACAGCUAAAUGACAACUGCUGCAUGACUUUACAGUCUGAUGGGUUUAAACUAUUUCAGUUUAGAAAAAUUCAGUAAUAGAAUCCUCCAUGUUUCUAAAAAUAUUUGUGCACACUAUAGGUUUGUCUGGCCAGAACAAAAAAAACAAAACCAGACUAUAGAAGAAAAGAAUAAAACAGACUAUAGGAAGACUGAGACCGACUGAAACUGACUAUUAAUGACUAUUAAAGGGAAGACGACUAUUAGAGAGAAGUAAUAAUAAUUACUGUACGUACCAGACUAUUAAACUAUUAAAAACUUAUUCUUUCACUGUCUUGUGCACCAUCUGACAGCAAGACACCUUAACAUUCAUUUUUGCUUUCAAACUUAUGCCCAGUUAAAUUCUUAAGAAGAGAUCUCAUGUGUAGUUUAGGUAUUUGAUUGAUUUCCACUCCAGACGGAGUGCAGGUUACAUCUACAGACAUUCUAAAUAAUCCCUCUUUUGUUGCUGUUAACUUCAGCUCAGCUGUGCUCUUAUCAUUGGCUGCUGAGGGGGGGCUGUAACUGAGGCCCUCACACAGGCUGCAUCACAGCUUGUUUCCAUGUGAUACGACCUCCAGAGAUGCAUCUGACCUGUCCUGUACAGCACAUGUGUCUUCUGGUCCUGAUGAGAGUUCCACACGUCCCUCUGUGAAAACAUGAUGGAGACAGAUGACAGGACGUGGGUCCUUUCGUGAACAGAUGUCAACGGGGUGGAGACUGGUGAACGACUUCUGACCCUAUGUGACGUAUUCACCUACUUUGCAUACUUUUAGAAAACUUUUUUUAUUCUGCCGUCAUGUGCAGCAAACUGUGAACUUGAUACCCCCACAUUCUAAUGACACACUACAUGCUUUUGUUUUUAUUUUCAUUUUUCAGAGGACGCUCUGAGUUAACACUCAGCCUUACAGGAAGCCCUGCUUCCCUGAGGCUCACACACAGACAUGAUGUAGGUUUGAUCAGAGGAUGUGAACCAGUGGUCAUCACACCUAAAUCUGACCACAGACCAUGUAAACAACAACAGCCUCUGAAAGGAAGCCAUAGAUGGCGUUACUGCAGACACCACUAAGACGCUGCUGCGAAGGUCGCUGCCCGACAACCCCUCCCUCUCCUGAUCCUUGUUCCCUCUCCUCUUUUCAUCUCCUCAUCCUCGUUUCCUCGCCUCAUCCUAGUUUCCUCUCCUGAUCCUCGUUCCCUCUCCUGAUCCUCGUUUCCUCUCCAACUCUCUCUACCCUUUCCUUCCUCAUCUCCCUGUGCUUUAAACAUUUUCUACCUCACAGGAACGCAGACUCUGGCAGACGAAUGGUUCCACCUGUAGCCACGGAGUCUGGUUUGGGCCUGAGGGCAGCCGUGCCGCCCAAGCACUUUUUCCCCACGAUUCAGAUUUCCCAACAGGUAAAAACAGGCGACAGGACCACUACACCAUCCGACCAGGGGACUGGGCGAUCGUUAAGGAGUUCAGGAGGAAGCACUGGGACUCCAAAUGGUGGCGAGGCCCCUUCCAGGACCUUCUGACGACCCACACGGCUGAAAGAUCGCAGAGAGAGCGACUUGGAUCCUCUCCAUCUACUGCAGGAAGGUCCCGGAUCCAACAGCCGACCCUCCAUCUACAUUCCACGGAGAAAAUCACCACUAAAGAAAAGAAUUGAGAAGGACGACUCUCGCUGUGCUCACACACACAAAGGUGCGAGCCAAGCGCCGCCUGAAGGUGCGCCGAUGAAUCACACUAUCAGCCUUGAGUUGCCGACGCUGGACGACCUGUAGACUCUUCACAUCACGGGGAGUGACAGUGACUCAGACGACAUUGGGAGGAAACCUGGCGGUGAUAACGAAUCCCAAGUGUCUCUGUGAUCAGCUGAUCACAACCUGAAGAACUCCAACGAACUGUCAAUACUUCAACACACAGGUUGGAAACAAUCUAAUGCUACUGUUCAACAGGAAGAAGCAGAUUGUUGUGAUUGUAACCUUGUUUUGUUAAACUUCAUUUUAUGUUACUUGGAUUGUUGCCUUGAUCAUAUGAUGUUUCCAUGUAACUUUACACAAUACUUUUGAAUGAGAAAAUUUCACAUAAUUCACAACACUGAGUUUAAAUAUCCUGAAGUUGACUUGGUGUUUGAUUUGCUCACAAUCACUUUAUUCACUGCUACAAUUAACUUUUAUCCUUCAUCGACAGAUGAUAGAGGUUAUAAGACAACACAAGCAGCAAAUGCAUCAUCAUUUAUUUACUGUAUGCAUUUGACAUUUCACCUAGAUUGUUUAAUGGUUGUCUCUCCCUGAUAGACUCUCAACUCUAGCUCCCAAACCCAAGGUUGGGGAGUUGUGUCUCUGUCUGUUGAGACUUGGUGCUCCUUUUUCACAGAUAGUUGGACGUCAGCAAUGCAGGUGUGAGAAAGUAAAUAUCUUAACACAACAACAGAGGAGAUUAUUACAUAAACCACUGAUGCAGUAGGUGAGUUAAUGUAGCAAUAGGAAGUUAACAGUUCUGGUUAUAUAGUCUGAUAGCAGCAGGGAGGAAAAAUCUGUGUGGUCCGUUAUCCCUAUAAAUUCAAUCUGGUAUCCCAAAUCGUAUUAUAUCUUGUAGUAGAGUUUUUUUUUUGUUUUCUUUGACAUCUAUUCAAUUCUAUAAAAUCCAUAUGUAAAUAUUGGAACAGAUAUUCUGCUUUAGGGAAUGUUCUUGUUUGUCAAACAUUUGCAUUUUUUAGAAUAAUUUGUAAAUCCAUAAGAAGUAUAGUAUUUGUUUAUUAUCCGUACCAUCCCCCCGUUGAGACAUGGCAAGGCCAAUGGCUCAAUACUGCUGCUCCUUUAUAGAGGGAUGUUGGUAAGAUAGGCUUCCCCUCUUGUCAAAGAUAGUAACUUGCGGAUUAACGGUUUGUCCUUUAUGAGUCCAUUUAUUUUUUACACUUUUGAGAAUGCAGUCCAUCAAAUGGCUAUUUUUGCUGGUAGUUGUACUGCUUUUAACAAUAUAUUCAUUAAAUCACCUGCAUUGUA
Long non-coding RNA from Betta splendens (Siamese fighting fish), 3874 nucleotides. RefSeq lists it as uncharacterized. The record is from RefSeq and is a predicted model, not a curated record. NCBI's taxonomy places the organism in Eukaryota, Metazoa, Chordata, Actinopteri, Anabantiformes, Osphronemidae. The transcript is spliced from 2 exons.